This 19243-nucleotide long non-coding RNA is filed under the name Malus domestica (apple). RNAcentral describes it as "long non-coding RNA (MDOM_LNC001609)". Lineage: Eukaryota; Viridiplantae; Streptophyta; Magnoliopsida; Rosales; Rosaceae. The record is from RNAcentral.
CUUCUUUACCCUAGAAAACAACUCUUCAUUUUUCUCUCUGUCUUCCUUGUUAACUAAUAGUAACAUACUUUGAACUCUGCGAACCCUUUUCAGUUUCCAUGGACGUGGUAACUAAUUAAGAUUAGUAAAUUUGACGUCGACGUAAAAGGAAUGCUAGGCAGAAGAUCGAGAUGCCAGAGUCCUGACUGAAACAAUAAGCACAGUACAGCGGGCAAAAGUAAAAAGAAAAUUUUGCGUUCUACAUAUCAGAUAUCAGAUAAUUUUAUUGAACUGAUUCUCAAACACAAAUUCUACUAUACUUCGAUGUAUUAUAUACAUCAGUAGAAAUUCUCACUCCUCAUAUAAUCAGAUACCCUUUAGAGUUAGAAAAGUGAUUUGAAAUUAUUUUCGUAAUUAUUAUAAAUUAUAAUAAUAUUUUUCAAUUGUAAUAGUGUAGGUUUUCUACUUAAAUAACUCUAUAUAUAUUAUAAUAUUUAUUACCCAUCAAUACAGGAGGUAAUAUUUUCACACAACAAUACAAGGAGUUAUAUUACAAUAUACACUAGAAUGUAGCCUACACAAUAUGUGCUUGUGAUUAAAAAGAAAAAAAGGGUUUAGGAGAUGGAAGGAAGAAUAGAAAAAUAAAAUCAACAAAAUUUUGUUUAUGCGAAAUUACAUUACUGCUUAUGUUUUUAUUUUGUGAUAAAAUACCAAAUUGUCUCUCCACUUGUUUUUUGUUGACAAAAAGAGUUUUGUUAAUAUGUAGGAAUUAUACACAAAUUACAAUUAGAAAUAUAUACCCUACAAUACAUAUAAUAAUUACGAAUUAAUUUCCUCUAGUCUAACAUUUCUCAAGUAGCGCUAUUAUUGUAGCAAAUAUUCACAUUAUAUUGAUAUCGUCCCAAGCUGCUAUUAUCCAACAUAUCGGUAACUAGUAUCAUAUAAUCUUGGUAUGACAUAAAUAAAGUUUAUUACGAUAAUCGAUUUGCUACGGUAAUAGUGUUAAAUAAAAAGAUUGAACAUUGAGAAGUAGAAAUUGUAAACAAUUUUGAAUGGUAUAAAUCAAAUCAAAUGUUAUUAACUGCAAAGAAUCUUGAGCAAAGAUAAUAAAAUUCCUGAGAAAGUGGUUCGACAUCGGCAUACUGGUCGCACUUGCCUUCCUUCAUGAGCUUCUCAAUGUACUUCAUCCAUGUGGUGCAGUCGUUGGUUGUGUGCCCCAGAACUCUAUGGAAUGCACAGAACUUUGUCUAGUCCAUCUUGGAGGUGUCUCCUGUGAAGCCAAAAAUAAUCACAAAGCGACACGUGGAUUUUUGGGUGAAGAUGACAAAUUUACCCUCGAGGCAUACCGGGUCUCCUACACGCGAGCAAUGGAGAAUCAUCCAUCAACCAAAUCAGGAGUACCCAAAAUAGGUAACAAGUUCAAAUUUGUCUCAUCCAUCCUCAUUCCAUAACCUCCAAAAACCUCCAAAAACAUUUCUUUUAUUAUGAUAAUUAGCCAAUUAAUAUAUUUAUACCUAAUUAAUAUAUUAAUUGCUAAUUGAAUCACCAAAUAACACCUCAUUCCCUAUAUAUAUGACCCUAUUUCUUCUAAAAAGCUAAGUUGAUACUCUUGCAAAACUCCCAAAAAUCCUCUAAACAUUUUUUCUCUCUAAAUUCUAACUUUGGCAUCGGAGGUUCUUCGGCCAAAGCCCCCCCCAUUCAUCGUGGGCGCAUGAGGUUCUUGGCCUUGACCAAAGGUGUUGAUUGUUUUGUAGGUGCAAUUUUAUCCAAGAAGAAGAAGGCGGAAAUUUGCAUCCACAAGUUGGUGCUUUCAUUGAGAGUUGAGAUUCACACUCGUAGAAGACUUUCGCACAAAAAGGUUUUUUCUCUAUUUUCUCUAUUUACUAGUUCAUUUGUAUUUUUCAUACGUUCUUAUUAUUAGAAAUUUUUAUUUGCAAAGAUUCUUUGAUAAAAUGUGAUAGAGAAAUACAAUGGUUAGAAAUUUAGAAAAUUCCACAAGUGAAAAUUCCAAUAUUCAAGAAAUGGGACCGCGGCGAUCCACAAGACUAAAUGUGAUCUUAGGGGAAGCAGCACCGCCACCACAAGGCUCAACCCUGGCAACCACCGCGGUGGCCACCAUGGCAAUCACCCACGGCGAGGUCCAUGACUCUACCACCACGGCCUGAGCCAUGUCACUCCAUGCCCAAUGCAAGCCCUAUGCGUUGCCAAGCCGAGCUCAAGCCUCGCAUUCGCGAGCAUCACACGCCGAGCAGCCUGCUCCCGACGAGCAGUCCACUCCCAUGGCAUAGCCUGCUCUCGUGGCCCAGCCUGCUCCAGCCGAGCAGCCCACUCUUGUGGCCCAGCCUGCUCCCGACGAGCAGCCCAUUCCCAUGGCCCAGCCUGCUCCCAUUGAGCAGCCUACUCUCGUGGCCUAGCCUGCUCCCGAUGAGCAGUCCACUCCCAUGGCCCAGCCUACUCCAGCCGAGCAGCCCACUCUCGUAGCCCAAAUCAGUCUAAGAUUAGUUCAACCAUCCCGGUUUCAAAUUUUUGGGCUUACAAUCGAACCAGGGGCAUUCUCACCACAUUUCUCCGCGGAUUUGACAUUUCCCAACUCAAAUCUCACUCUCGGAGUCUACCACAUUUCCACUGCUUAAGGAGGCACAUUCCUUCCAAGCUUUUCCAAUCCAAAUGGUGAACAACACUUGUCUCGACAAGUCAUAGAGUUAACAAGCGCCCUAGCACAGCAAACGACCUUGGUAAACCAGCUCUUGCAGCACACCAAGAUGCAACAUGCCCCAAACGAGGUGUCCCAAAGUAGGACAAUGGCAGAUGAAGAACCUCUCCAACAGCAUCCCAGCAAGCAGCCACUCGACCAUCCACGAACCUAGCGUUUGAGCAGAGUACACUCCCGAUUUGGCCCCCGAGAUAGCGUAUACUCUCAUCUUAGCGCAUAGAGGAGCGUGCAUUAUCGACUAAGCCCACGGACGAGCAUACACUCACGGUUGAGGAUGUACUCCGAUAAUCAACAUGAGUAGCCUUCCAAGCGAAGUAUUCAUUCACAGCUAGGCCCGCAAGGAUUAUCCUCCACAUUACAUCGAAGCGGCAGCACAGCAGACGGAAAGAAGCAGUCAUUCAAUCCGGCUCAAGUUCAACCAGCAGCCUAUGAGUUACAUGCUCGCCUGCUAGUAACAUACCACACCCACCGCAGCCGCGACAUAGACGAGCCAAACAUAUGGAAUAACAGCUUAGACCAACACAUCACGAUCGGGUAAGCCUCAAAAGGGUCUACUCUCCAAUACGAGAGGAUAAACUAAUUGCUCUCCAGUGCAAGAGGGUAAACCAAUUCCCCGACACCCAAAACGGUCUGCUCUCCAAUGCGAGAGGAUAAACUAAUUGGUCUCCAGUGCGAAAGGGUAAACUAAUUCUCCGACACCCAAAAGGGUAUGCUCUCUAGUGCGAGAGGAUAAACUAAUUGCUCUCCAGGGUAAACCAAUUCCCCAACACCCAUAUGGGUUUACUCUCUAGUACGAGAGGAUAAACUAAUUGCUCUCCAGUGCGAAAGGGUAAACCAAUUCCCCGACACCCAUAUGGGUUUGCUAUCCAGUGCGAGAGGGUAAACUAAUUGCCCUCCAGUGUGAGAGGCUAAACUAAUUGCUCUCCAGUGCGAGAGGGUAAACUAAUUCCCUAACACCCAUCUGGGUAAGCUAUUCAGUGCGAGAAGGCCACAUAGCUUAAAAGAUCAAAUGCUUGAAGAUCAACUAGGCAACAAAUGGUCAAGGGCAGCAGCCACUUUUGCACUUAACAGUUCACUCAUCCGACACUUUAUCUUCAAUAGCUCCGAUCUUGGCAGCUUUAUCAUUGACUACUCCAUCUACGGCAGCGGAGAAAUCAAACUCAAGCAGUUUUCUCAUUUUUGGCAAACAGCCCAAACAUGGCAACCUAAACCGUUGCCCAUGCCACACCACUUCCUCGGCCUAUGCCGAGCUAAUCCUUGGCUUUAAUCAAGUCGAACAGCACAAACAAUGGCCCUUGCCACACCACCUUCUUGGCAUAUGCCAAGCCGACUCCUGGCCCAUGCCAGCCAACGUGCUGCACCACCCCGACGGCUGCCCCGCAAUAGCACUAUCCAAGAAGAAGGUAAGAAAAAAUGAAGUUUUUAUUACAUUGGUGUGGCACGGAGAAGACGAAGAAAGCUACGAAAGACGGUCCUUUGCACGGGCAAGAUGUAGAAGAUUGCUAGAGAAUGGGGAACAAAUAUCCUCUAAGCUCUCUUUCUCUUGUAGGGUAGAAUAAAUCACUCUCCAAAGUUGAUUUAAUAACCCACUUAAGGUGGACUUAAAUAGGUUUUGAGAGAAAUUUAUUUCCUUUUCCUAGAAGGAUCUAAUUUCAUAUUAAAGAGGGAAUCUACAUCAAAACAGGAAGCAGUCCUAAGUUUCCUAGAGCAAGAAGAUCUCUACACCUGCUGCACUUUCCUACGAGCAGCCCAGCAGGUGUGGGGGCCUUUGUGGAGCCAAAAAUAAUCACAAAGCGACACGUAAAUUUUUGGGUGAAGAUGACAAAUUUACCCUCGAGGCAUACCGGGUCUCCUACACGCGAGCAGUGGAGAAUCAUCCAUCAACCAAAUCAGGAGUACCCAAAAUAGGUAACAAGUACAAAUUUGUCUCAUCUAUCCUCAUUCUAUAACCUCCAAAAACCUCCCAAAACAUUUCUUUUAUUAUGAUAAUUAGCCAAUUAAUAUAUUUAUACCUAAUUAAUAUAUUAAUUGCUAAUUGAAUCACCAAAUAACACCUCAUUCCCUAUAUAUAUGACCCUAUUUCUUCUAAAAAACUAAGUUGAUACUCUUGCAAAACUCCCAAAAAUCCUCUAAACAUUUUUUCUCUCUAAAUUCUAACUUUGGCAUUGGAGGUUCUUUGGCCAAAGCCCCCCCCCCAUUCAUCGUGGACACGUGAGGUUCUUGGCCUUGACCAAAGGUGUUGAUUGUUUUGUAGGUGCAAUUUUGUCCAAGAAGAAGAAGGCGGAAAUUUGCAUCCACAUCUCCCCUCAUGGGUGGCGGCAUCUUGAACCAUGGCUUGUCUCUGAGGUCACGAAGGAUCUGGUUGAUCGGGACAAAUAACUUGGUGCAUGUCUUGGGUGUUGGGCCUCCCUUUGUCAGGGACCAAUCCCUGCGUCUACUUCCUGGCUUGUCCUUGUUCUAAAGAAGCUAUCACUCUCUCUGUCUCUGUGAUAUCCUUAGCUGCCUGUACAUAACAAAGUAUAAAACUUGCACCUCAAACGCACAAGCCAAAAGCAACUGUAGAAGUGCUUCCUUUCAGAUUGUCUUGCCUUAACUUGUCACAUUAACAUUAUUGCUCAAGAAACCAUUUUCAUACUUGAUGAAACUUGAAAGUAACAGAAGAGAUUAAAUUCCGUAUUUGUUGAAAUUUAGUCAGUGAGAGAGAGGAAUCUUGGUGACGGUGAAUGCAAAAGCCCUCUCAAAAAUUCAACUUCAAAAACAAGUACAAAUUUCCACAUUUGCUUCUUUUAUGCAGUUUUGGUGAAUUGGCAGAGUCAACCCUACAUUGCAUAUUUAAGGGUUGUGGUGGUGGAAAUAUCAUCUAAAACUUGAGGUCAUGAUUUAUAACCUUGCUUGGGAUUCGUUAUUGAUACUUUGAUUUGAUGAGUAUGGCCACGGCCUAGAGUAACUAGUUCAAUGUCCUUCCACUAACCUUGACUUAAUUAGCCUAUAAUAUCUUGCAAUUGCAUGCAUUCGGGGUGAUUCAUGUCAUUUGUUGUUAUCCACGCCCUAAUAAUGUGAUUAUGCAUUCCAAAAUUUAGAACUGGGGAAUUAAACCGGAAACGGUAACAGUACAUUGUAGAAAAACAUUGACAUCGAUUUCUUAAUACUUGGAAAUGGAGGAUUUUUCCAUGAAACAGAUACAUUGUCACCGUAGCAUCCCGUGCUACAAAAAUAUUUGUAAGUUUUCAUUCAGAUAUUGUUAUAUUAUUAGUAAAUGAGUUCAUAAUAAUGAUUUACUGGUGUCAUGUAAGUUGUUUAAAAAUAUAUAUAUAUAAAGAAAGGGUCGACUAAACUGGGCGUAAAUGGUCAAUUUGGUAACGUUUUGACCAAAGAAAUGGCCACGAUCUCUCGCACCCGAACUGAACUAGUUUGGACAUAAUUGAUCCAUGAAUUCAAAGUUAAAUAGUUCAACUAAGCUGAGACUGCGUGAUGAACACUCGCAGAAGACAAAAUGGAAAUGCUAAAAAUUCAUUCAAGUUGGGAGUCGGGAGUCGUAUCGAGCAUUCAUGCGUCCGUGUUGGUUUGGUUCAUCGAGUUUCUACUAUAUAUGUUUGAAUUUAAACAGAGGGGGUCGAGAGAAUGGACCACAUUUCUGUUGAAAUCAAAUCAUGCUAAUCUGUAGCUAUAAUGGACUCUAUAUAUGGAACGUUGGCUACAGUACCUGUCUGUCUCAAUCUCAUCUUUGUAAAGUCAUGGUGCUGAUAAGCAUGAAAGCAGUAAACUAUUAUUGUAUAUGUAUAAAGACAUUAUACAUAUACUAAAACUCUGUUUUUUUAGCACUGUUCAUUAACAGUGAAAGGCAAAAAUGCCCUCGGUUGCUUCUUUGUUAGUUGUAAUGUUGCCUACUUUCUACAAUGAAUUGUUGGUUUUGCCCAUGAUAGCCAUAAUCAUUGUUUAUCUCGAUGCUUCGAUUCUGUCUUCUUCGCUUUACCUUUCAAAUUGGUUUUGUCCCUCAUGAAUCUCUGCUUUUGUCCGUCUUCAUCUCGCUCUCUUCCUCUCAAAUCAUGUGUUCUUUUUUUCGCAAAAUAGUCACGAGUAAAUUUGGUUUUCAUUUAUAUGGGGAUGAUGUUUCUAGUCUCCAUUUCCAGAAUAGUCUUGCAUAUCUGUAAAUAUUAGACUAGAAAAAAAAAACAAAAAACAAAAAAGUUAGCAUUCAGUCUUUAGCUACUAAUGUUCUUUAAUUGAGGUCUUACUAGUUUUCAAAUUUUUAUCGAAGUCUCUAAUGUAUUAAUGAAUUUACAUGUUAGUUACAUAAUUUCUUAAAAUAAACAUUGGUGAUUGAUUUAGGGUUUUAAUACUCACAAAUACAUUAAUCUCCUAAUUAAUAUUCAAUUUAAAACAUUUCCAAAAUUAUAAAAUAAAAUAAAAUAAGUUUGUGCUUGUUGCAUAUUAGAUUAGGAAUGUAAUUGUACAAAUCCUAAAGUAUUUGGGAUAUCCUUAGAAGAUUCUCUAGGGUUAGAUGUUAUCCUAAUAGAGUUGUAAUCCUAUUAAGGUCAAGAAUUUACCUUCCCUACUACUAAUAGAGUUUUUAUCCUAUUAGGGUUAAAUGAGGUGAUAAACACACACCUCACAAUACACAUCUCUCUCAUCUCUCUUCUCUCUUUAUGCAGUCGGCCCCUCUCUCCCUAUCUUUAUUAUAUUUCAGUAAAUUAGGCUUACAACAGUACUCAUUAAUUUUAAAAACAAUUACAUUAUCCAAAUUAUAAAACUAUAUUUUGGACAGAAACCAAGGAUUUGAUUUAUUUCAAAGAGUGACAAAAUUUAUUCAUAUGCACGUAAAUGAUGUUAUGGUUGUUUUUCUAAUUGCUUUUUGCAUUUAUAAUUUUACCCCUUUAUAAUUGAAAAUGAGUCAUUAUGUAUUGUUUCUUUCUCUCUCCUCUUAUUUCUUCUUUGUCUUUUUUCUCUCUACCUUCUCAUUCUCACUCAUGUCUCUGUCCCCUCCCUCCUCCUUAGAGCACUUUCACCCCUCUCAAGUUCCCUAGGGGAUAGUGAAUUAAAUCCCUUCCCUUCCCCCAAAACUCCUCCACCCCAUUCCAAUCCACUAGGCUUGGGGAGCCUAGUUGAUCACCUAGGCAAAAAUCGACUAGCCUAGCCUCUAGGCCAUGUGACGUAAGUUGACAUCAGCAACAAUUAAAAAAUUAAUAACAAAAUAUAAAAAAUACAUAAAAUACAUAAAAUUUAAUUUUAAAAUUAAAAAAAUAUAUUUCAAUAUUUUCAAAUACUUUCAACCAAUCUUUUUUUAUCAUCCGAAAUUAAAAAUAAAAUUAUCUUUCAUUAUUUUAUAAAAAAAAAUUAAUAAUAUUUUGAUACGAAUUGUCUGAGCUAUUCAAUUUAGAGGUGGAAAUGCACUUGGGUUGUUACUGUUCACUAAAGUCAAUUACCAUUCACUUGGGGGGACUGAAUUGCUUAUUGCCCUAGGGGCUUUUUGGGGUGGAAAUGCUCUUAUCUCUCUCAUCCUUCUUCUUUGUCCAUCUCUCUCCUAUUUUUUCUUCAUACUUCUCAAUCCCUCCUCUUCGUCUCCGUAUUGUUUCCUAGAUUUAUGAGUUUUUCUUUUCUUUUCUAAGAAUGAUUGAGAUUUUUUAUUAUUGGUUUUUUAUUUCAAUAAUUUUUUUUAAGUAUUUGAUUUGGAGGUUUUGAUUAAUUUGAAUGCAUGAAUUUUGAAACUAAUCUUGCAAAAUUACAAAAAAUUUGAAACUAAUCUUGUAGAAACGCUGAAAUUUUGAAACUGAUUUUGCAGAAGUGUUAAAAAUUUUGAAACUAAUAUUGCAUAAGUGCUAGAAUUUUGAAACUGAUCUUGCAGAAGUGCUGGAAUUAUGAAAUUGGUCUUGCAGAAGUAUUGAAAUUUUGAAACUGAUGCAUGAGCUAAAAUGUUUCAAACUGAUUUUUGCAACAGUGCUUAAAUUUUGGAAAUGCUUAAAUAUUGAAACUGAUCUUGCACUAGGAUUUUAAAAUUGAUCUUGCACUAGAGUUUUAUAACUGAUCUUGCACUGGAAUUUUGAAACUGAUCUUGCACUAUAAUUAUGAAAUUUGAUCUUACAGAAGUGCAAAAAAUUCUAAAACUAAUCUUGCAGAAACGCAUGAAUUGUGAAACUAAUCUUAUUGAAGCUAACGUUUACAAAUCCCAAAUCAGUUUGAAGUUUUUAUAUAUGGUGUUAGUGUGUAGUUUUGGUUAAUUAAGUACAAGUCUUUGUCUAUUAGGGGCAUGGCUAAAAAUUUUAAAUCUUGGUUUGCUUGUUUUUUGGUCUCAGUUUGUUGGGGUUUGAGUUUUUGUCUAUCCUUGAAAAUAAUUCAAAAUAAUUCAAAAUUAGUGGGAUUCUAUAAAAUGUAUUUUGUGUGUUUUCUAUAGGUAAAGCUCCCUUAAGUUUAUAUAAAAUUAUUUUUAACUUUAAUCUUAAAUGAACCAUUUUGUAUAAUUUUUUAACCUUAAGUGUACUACUUUUUUUUUUUUUUGAAUAAACGAUAUUAUAUACACUAAGGGGGAAGGGGAAGGGGUGGACUUAGCCUCACAAUGGGCUAACAAUAAUGUGUUCAAAUUCACCUUUGGCGAGAAUUGAACCUAAGACAUCUCACUUACAAGUGAAGAGGAAGUGUACUACUUCUUAAAUAUACUAAUUUGUUAUAAUGUGCAAUGUAGCCUUUAUUUUUAUGUAAAACCCGUUCACUUUUUUUCUAAUCUAUUUUUUUAAGUUAUAUGGGUACGUUCUUUUUCAUUGAUUUGAGAAUGUAACUAUGUCAAGUUUAUUUAAAGAAAUUUACAACUGUUAUUAAGACUAAUAUUUUUUUUUUUUUGUGGUUUUGAAAAAUGUACCCCUGUUUUGGGUCUGAAGAAUCUACCACACGUUUUAUGGUAAUAUUAUUUUUUUAUUAAUUUUGAUGAAUGUACCCUAUAUGUUUUAUAUAUAUGUAUAGUAUACAAUAUGUUUUAUAUAGUAUACAAUAAGUUUUAUAUAUAUGUACAUGCAUUGUAUGGCAAAACAUGAUAUUUUAUAUAUAGUAUACAAUAUGUUUUUUAUAUAUGUACAUACAUUGUAUGGCAAAACAUGAUCUAUUUUUUUUAUUGAUUUUGCUUUCACGGUGGGGAGGAUAAUUUAUCUUUAUCAUUUUCAAUCCCACAAUUAUGGGUUUUAUUUAGAAUCUCAUUAAUAUAAGCAACUACAAAUUUCAAUUUUCAAGUUCAAAUAUAAUAACCGACAUGGAAAUACAUUAAUACAUUAAUGUAAGGAACUUCAAUAAAAAUUGAAACCCAAUAAAGUUUUAGUCAAAGUAUAUCAAUAGCUAGGGACCGCAUUUAAAAUCUCCCAAAAAAAAAUUAGAAAAAUAAGAUUAGACACAAUCAGGAUCCAAAGGAAGAGCUUUGAGCAUAUAUACUGAAAUCUUAUUCAUAACACAAUUCAUAAGUCUGAUAGGAGAUAAAGAAAUUAUCUAAACUUGUUGACUUGAGCUUACUCAAGUUGACUAUAGCAAUAUCAGUGUAUUUUUCUCAAUGCACCUAAGUUUGAAUAUCUCUCUUUGUGGUUUAGAUUAUCCUAUUGUUUGUCAUAAAUUAUCUAAUUGUAGCUAUCUUGGUAACUACGUUCCUUUGAUGAGUUAUUUGCAUUAAUUCUGAGUUUUGUAUAUGCCUCUUUGAAAUCUAAGAGUAAAAUGAAUAAUGCUCCAGCCAAACCGAAGUUUCUCUUGUAAAAAAUUUAAUAGGUAACCUUAUCAUAAAUAACUUAGCACCAACUCCCCCAAGAAGAGGAGGGGGAAUUUUUGCAUUCAAAGUUUAGCUUCCUACAGCCGAACUCCAACUAGCAUUUGCAUAACAAUUUAUAUCUAAAAUGUAUUCAAUUAAAACCAUGAUUCAGUUAGGGCUCUAAGGCCCAAUAAAAAACUAGUUGCAAAUGAGUCGGGCCUAAAUACUAUCUAAUCCAUGAUCAACAGAAGCAAGCCCACACUCAACAAAACUCAUGGCCCAAGGAAUUUUUUCACCUCGCCAAUACUCGUAUUCAAUUAAAUUUUUGAUGGAUUUAUAAAUUCAUGGACUUUAAUAGAGCUUAAUUGAUUUGUAGAGAUUUCAUGUAAAUUUGUGAUUUAAUUCCCUUGAAAUCUCAGGAGAAAGGUAAUAUUUGUGAAUGCUUAAAAUACACUACGAAAUCGAAAUCUCUCUAAUUGCCUCAAAUUCUUCAACUUUUUAAAAAAAAAUAUUAAUUGAAUACACCUUGAUCGUUAAACUUCUUUAAAUAUACCCACACUUAUAAUGAUUUCAAUAAUAUAUUUUAAAAUAUUGAUUGAAUACACAUUGAAUUUCAAAAAAAAUCACAUAAAAUUCUGAUUGAAUACUCUAGAUUUAUUAAAGAACCUCAAAAUUCCAAUUGAAUGCACCCCCUCCCCCUUAGGUUCGUCUUUCUUUCUUCUCCUCCUUCGUCUUUCUCUCUCCUACCUACUUCUUCCUAUUAUUUUCCUAGAUUUAUGAGUGUUUUUUUUCAUUAUAAGAACCAUUGGAAUUUUUAUUUUUGAUUCUAGUAUUUCUUGAAGGUUUUCUUAUUUUGAAGUUUUGAUGAUUUGGAUGUGUGAAUUUUGAAAUUGAUUUUACAAAAAUGCAAAAAUUUUGAAACUGAUCUUGCAUAAGUGCUAGAAUUUUGAAAUUGAUCUUCCAAAAAUACAAGAAUUUUGAAACUGACCUUGCAGGAGUGCUGAAAUUUUGAAGUUGAUCUUCCAAAAAUACAGGAAUUUUGAAAUUGACCUUGCAGAAUUGCUAGAGUUUUGAAACUGAUAUUACAAAAAGUGCACGUAUACUAGAAUUGUGAAAGAUCUUGAAAAGUACAAAAAAAAAAAAUUUAAAAUUAAGUUGAUCUUGCAAAAGUGCAUGUUGUGAAAGAUCUUGCAGAAGUGCAAAAAAUUUUGAAAUUGAUCUUGCAAAAAAUAGUUUUUACGGAUUGAAAAUAAGUUUGAAGUAGGACUCUGUUUCAGAUGGAACGGAUCGUAAACAAGAGUUCCAAAUUCCAUCCCGAAAUGUUUGGAAUUUAAUUUAGCUUCCAAUUCCGACCCAAAAUUUUUCAAAUUUAAUAUUAGCUUCCGAUUCCAAUUCGACAUUUUUCAGAAAUUAACUGAUUAUUCCAAAACGGAAUUCUUGGAGUUUAAUUUUAGCUUUCGUCCAAUUCGAAAAUUUGCAAAAUGAAAUGAUUAUUCCGGAUGUUAUGUCCGAAAAAUGAAAAUUUUCGAAAUUUCCAAAAAUCUAAAAGUGCUGCAGUCAUAUUUAGAAUAGGAAUGUGAUUGUGUAAAUCCUAUGGAAUCUGGGAAUGUAUCUUAUAUUCCUAUUAGGACUAGAUUACCUAUUAAAUGUUGUAAUCCUAAAAGGAAAUGUUUUACCAUUUCUACUACUAUAAAUAAAGGCAUAAUGAGGUGAAUCAAACAUACCUCACAAUUAAAUUAAUCUCUCUUCUCCCUAAAGUUUGCCGCACCCCUCUCUCUCUCUAACCCUAGAUCGCUCAAUCAAAUAGGCCUACAACAAAAAGUAAAUAAUUCUAAGUUGGGCCAAGCAUUUGCUUUCAUUUGUUUAACCACAAAAGGAACCGAAAGGCCUCGUUGCUUACCCCCCCCCCCCCCCCCCCCCCCCCCCCCCCCCCAAACAAAAAAAAAGCCCAAAAGGCUUGACAUCGGCUUCAAUUCAACGCCAUCGCUCGUUUCCUAAGGUGAACGAUGUGAGACAAAAGAAACUUGUCUAUUCUAGUUUAAUCUCAUACAAUGAAAACUAAGCAAAUCAUACGCAUAUUUGUAUUUUAGAAUUUCUAUAUCACUUUUUGAGUAGUAUAUUUCAUAUGUCAUGUUCAUGCUUAUAUUUUGGCUCCUUUUUUUUUUAGGUUUAUUGGGGUUUGGGUUUUUAUCUUCUUAAAAUGACUCAAUACUAGUAGAGUCCUCAUAAAUAUAUUUUGUGGUUUUUUGACUUUAUAAGUAAAGCUCCCUAUACUUUUACUCAGUGUUACUUUGCUUAUAGGUUGUCAUUUAAGACUAUGAUCUAGUGUCUAAUGUACUCUUCUUCACUUACAACUGAAAAAGUUUAGUUUUGAUUCUUGUGAAUGCCAAUUAGAUAAUGAUAAAUAUUAAGGAGACUCUACAAAAUGGAACUCUCUAUGGACUCUUAGUCACCUCAUAUUUUUAACACUAUGUUUUAUAAUGUUAGCACAAGAAUUAACGUUAAGAUAUGAGGUAACAAAGAGUUCAUGAAAAAAUCUCAUUUUAAGAGAAUCUCCUUGAUUCUCUUAGACAAUAGAAACCAAUUUAUUCAUCUACUAUUAAGUUAAAUAUAAAAAUAGACAAAUAAUCUAAAAUUACAUUAAUAAAACCCUCUUUGUAAAGGGACAAUUUUGUCUUCUACCACAAAACAAAAUAAUGGGCAGUAAAGUAAAUUCACACAAAUUAAAUUUUACAAUUUUUUUUUUCAAAACCUCACCCAAGGGUGAUCCUAAUAUCCUUUAAUUUUGAAAAAUCAAAUAUAACAGGGAAAAAUUCUCUCUCUAAUCCACAUUCCUUUUUCUCUCCUUCUCCUUCCCAUUUUAAAAUAAAAAUAAAAAUUAUUUCACACACAAAGUGUGGGACAUAUGCUAGUAAUGAAAUACUAGCCUCUCCACACGCACUAACGUGUAGGGCGUGCGAAAGGCAUUUUUGCAUCACGUGUAAUUGUCAAGAUAUACUUUAAAUAUAUUGUGCAAAGAGGAACUCUUUUUUCUAUCAUGCAUGUCCUAAAAAGUUAUCAUGUUUUUCGUUUUUACUUUGCGUAAAGUAAUGAUUUAAAAUAAUGAGAGAGAGAGUGAUUUCAGGAAUGGUGAGGGAGAGCACUGGAAGAUAUUUGUAAAGCCCUGAAAUUGAUUUUUCAGGAGAUGGAUUUCACAUUUUGAUAAAAAUCAAUCUCCACCUUCAUGCUCAUAGGCUUUCAGUCUCAUACCAAUUUUCAACUAACGCAAAAAUUCACAAAAAUGUGAAGGUCAAGUCAAUCUAUCCAAAAACUUAAAAAGUAAACUGUGAAAGGAAAACAUGCAGUUAUUCUAAUUUUAUUUCAAGAUUCGAAACACUGUAGAAAGCAAAUAAAAUUCAGAAAAAAAAUUUACAGAUACAUUUUUAAAUUAAAAAGUACCAGAGAGAGGUGGAAAGGAAGUGGAAGAACAGAGAUGGAGAUCGAUAUUGGUGGAUGGAGAUAUAAGGUUCAAUGUUUACCCCCAAAUCAUUUAUAAAAAAUUAAGAAAAAAGAAAAAGAAAUACAUACUGCUCGUGCUCCUCCUUUUUAAACUCUUUGAGAGUUAGCUUGCUGAAAUCAACAGUUUUCAAUCAAGAUCAACAAUCAAUCAAGGUUUUCUUCAAGCGAUUAUCUCACGAAAUUUUUAAAUUUGAAAGUGUAGCAUUACUGAGAGAAAUAGGUUUUAGUGUAAAAGAAAUCUCUAUUUGGUAGGCCCUCUCUAAAUCCAGUUCCUUAUAGCCUUGCAAAUGAGUUGUGGAGAUAAUUUUAGUGAAAAUUGGAAAGAUUAUGUAGUAUGCUCUUCAGAGAAGGAAAUCAGUGCAUGUAUAACAAAGUUCAAACCAACCACAUAUUAUGCAUGUAUUUAGUUCACAAAAGAAAUCAGUGCUGAUAUUGUUUACCAAGAUAUAAAACUGUGUACUUGCCCUCUAUCAGAUAAAGGCACUCAAAAUCAAAAGAUGAUGGUGAAUUGGUGAAGCAGAUGCUAAGAUUAGCAAUUGGAUUAGCUUUUGUUCUACAAUUGGUGAUGCAGGAAAACAAAGUGAUUGGAGUCAUACCCUUCCAAAUCAAGAGAAGCAAGUUGGCUAAAUUUAUCAUACAUUAAAGGCAUACCUUUCUGAAGUGUGGAAUCAGAGUCGGCAUUAAACUGGUAGUACCCUGAAAUAAAAUAUCAAAACAAAGUCGGCAUUAAACAGAGAUGCAGGAUAAAAAAAAUAUCUUGUACAAAGAGGACAUAUUCGUUCAUCUCAUGCUUCUGAAACCACACAACGAACUCCUGAAAACCAAACUUAGCCUCCUUCCGAUUACUCAUCUCUAAAUACUGGUGGUAUGCAAUUGCUUAGUGUUGAACCUCCCACCAAACACUAAUUAAAAAAAUCCAAAAAUUGCUCUUCAUAAGGGAGAAUAAUAAAAAAUAACUCACGCUUUUUUCCUUUUACUUUUGCUUCUCUUUUCUUCACCGACCUCCUCCUCUGCUUGUUCGUCUUCGAGUUUCAGUCUUGUUGUCUCAAUCUACAAAACCCAAAAUUGACUACAUUAAACACAAAACCCACCAAGAAAUUACCUCUAUAAAAAAUGCCACAAAAAAAACACAUUAAGCUCCACAUUCAAUCAUCAACCCAAAAACUUGAAAUCCCUCGAGAACUUGAACAACCCCCCCCCCCCAAAAAAAAACCAAGGAAAAUACAAAAAAUCUUAAGACAGUAUCGCAUAAAAAGAAAAUGGUUACCAGAUUGUCUUUGAGUGAGUGCGUGUUUUGCCUCAGUGCAAUCUUUGAGAGAGCAAGAGUGAUGGAAGCUACUAAGGACACAGAAGGAAAGAUAGAAAAAAAAAAGUGUGAAGAUGAUGGGACCAAAAAAAAAAUUGCAAUUGGAAAAAAUCUUGAAUCAAAAGUUGAAAUCAAAAGCUAAAUGGUAAGGAAAGUUGGGGUUAGGGAUUUGCACAAAAUGGAAAACUUACUUAAAUAUGGUGAUCAGAAGAGAGAAGGGAAGAUGAGCAAUAGCCAGGAGAUUGGGCUCUUGAAAGUGGGUGUCCGGGAUCGAAGGUGUGAAGAGGAUGGGCUCCAAGACGGCAUCUCGAAGUCUGGUUUCGAAAAUUAGGCUAUUUUCGAUUAUUCAUCUGUAUAUGGCAGUGGUAUGGGGGUAGUUAUUGUUGAACAUUCAACUGAACUCAGAUCGUGGGAAUCGUUAAACUACUCUCUGGUUUCAUCGUGGGAAUCGUCAAACUGUUCUCUGGUUUCGAUCGUGGGAAGUUGGAGUAGGACUGAUAACUAAACUGGCAACUGUCUUCCUUUUCACUUUCCAUUAGGUUUCAAAUUCUAUUGUUAAUGUUAUUACCUCUUUAUCCUUCUUUUGUUGAUUUACAUAGAGUCAUUAAGUAAGGGUAUUUUAGAGGUUAUCUAAUGCUUCACCAAACUAGCCUUCUCCCUUUAUAUAUAUAUAUAUAUAUAUAUAUAUAAGAAUGAUAAACGAUAACAAAUCCCGACCAGCCGCGUACACUAAGGGCGUGUUUACAUAAGGGGAAUGGAGUGAGUGGAAUGAGAAUUGCAUUCAUUCCAAGUGAUUCAUUUGUUUACUAACAUUGAGGGAAUGAAAUUGUAUGUGGGGCCCACCAAAAUAGGGAAUCAGAUCCCUGAUUUGCCUAGAAUCGGAUUACCAACCAAUAGGUGGUAUUUGGAUUCCUGAAGAAAGCCCUCAACUCGGAAUCAGUUUUUUCUGCCCAAUAAACCCUUAUCUCCGGUAACACAGCACCUUCAGGUUUCAGAUUCCAGCCGAAACAUCAACGUCAACACCUGUUAAACCAUUGGAUUAAUUCUCAUCACCCACCAUCACAAGGCACUAUUCGCCCUUCUCCUUCUCUAAGCUACUUUGCUACAUACAAACGCCAACUUUCACUGCACAGCCCUCCAAUCACAGCUCCGGCAAAUGGGUUUUCUCCCUUCAGACGAAUUUUCAACUCUUACCUCCAAUCUUGUAAGCUCCGCCAUCCCUGAUUUGUUAUUUAUCUUGCUCCGAUUACAAUAUUUUGCAUUUUUUAUUUCUGGGGUUUGUGCAUUCCGUCGAUAUUCUAAUACUCUUUGAACCGUUGAAUCGGUUUUAUAUCUAUUUUGAACAAAGUAUUUUAGUAAUCAAACUGGUUUUGAUUCCAAUUCAUGUGAAUUGGUAAACAGCUAAUAUAGAAUAUGCAUUAUUUGCAUUCUGAUUCUAUACAAUUUUAGUAAACAAUUUCAACAAGAAUCUGAUUCUAAUUUCAUCUCAUUCCAAUUUCUUCUCAAUUCAAUUUAUCUCAAUCUAAUUACGGAUUAAUAAAUGUACCAUAAAUACUAAACACCAAAUUUUAUUGUCGAAUCCCUAACCUAUCCUGUACACCCCGCGCCGCCCAGAUUCUAAAAUGUCCCGCGCCUCAUUUUUACACAAAACACCCUCACCUAUCAAACCGAACAAAGGGUAGUAGACCCCACUCAAAUCCCAUAUCAUCUAAAAUCCCACACCCACCUCAAUCUCCCUAACCCUACACCCUUGCACACCCAAAAGCUACUCCCACCCCACAAACCCGAAAUUUGAACAUUUUGAAUGGAGUAGUUCUUUACUUCUUUUCGUAUAUCUUUUUUUUAUCUUUCAAACAUUUUUGUUAAUUUUUAUUCAUUGAUUUUCUCAAUUUAUUAGAUUAAAAGGUCAAAAAUUAAGAAAUACGUAUGACAAGUAAAAGUAGAUGUAUAAAUAACACCAUCUUUUUUACUGUCCCUGAAAAAACAUGAGGUCCCAUUUAAUGAUUAUGAAGAUGACAUCAUUAAUAUGUCUCACUUUUAGUGUAAGUUAAUGAAAAAUAAAUGUGUUGUUAUUUAAGUGAAACAUUAACAGGUGAAGCCAUAAUUUGGAGUAUAAGGUAUUCCGCCAGUUAGAGCUUUUCGAUCCGGUCCAAUGGAUGCCCAAUUUUCUUUAGGAGGCAGAUUAUCUGCCUCCUGUUUGGGUGCUCUUCUAUGCUCUUAUAUUUUGUGCGAUCAUGAUUAAGCCAUGUUGAUAUUUUAUAUUAAUUUUUUUAUAGAGAUAUUAAGACAAAAAGCAAUAAAAAUAUAAAAUAUUGACGUAACUUAACCGUAACCGUACAAAUAAGAAAUGAUGGAAAUGACACCCAAACAGGAGCGCAAACAAUCUGCCUCCUUUUCUUUAACAACCGUUGGAUUAUAUGAAAGGGCCCUUGGUAACUGUGUAUUCAAUAUUCUAACUCUAAGGGCCCGGUUUGAUAUCCACAUCAUUUUCAAGUUUCAUUUUUUUUUAUUAAUUGAAGACGAAAAUCUUAUUUGAUAAACAGUGUGACAAACGAAACAGUUAUCAAAUAUACUAAAAUUUCAAAGAGUAAACUGUCGGUUUACCCCCUGAACUUUCACUUCACUUUCGAUUUCCCCCUUGAACUUUUCCAUUGGAAAAUUAAGGACUCAAACUAAUUUUUUUAGCCAAUUUGCCCCCUACCGUUAGUUUUUCAUAUAUUCCAUCCAUAUUUCCAUUAAGUGAGACCAUGUGCACAACAUGUGAGGGUAGUUAAGUUACUUCACUCUUAAAAAUGAUUAAAAAACUGAAAAUAAUAAAAAAAGCAAAACUUUCCCUCUAUUUUUUCCCGCUAAUUCAUAUCCUCGAUUUUAUUUUUCCUUCUCAUUCAUAUGCAUGAGAAAUGACAUAUGGUGUUAUUGUCUACCAUUUUUAUUUUCUCUAACAAAUUAAUAAUUUGACAAAUGCUAAUGGUGCUAUUGUCUCAAAAGCAGUGCAUUAAUAUAAGAAACCCUAGUCUUUUUUAUGGACAUGUUUCUUAUAUUAAUGCACUGCUUUGGAGACAAUAACACUAUGAGCAUUUGUCAAAUUAUUAAUUUGUUAGAGAAAAUAAAAAUGGUAGUACAUGCUUCAAAAAAAGAUUAACUUAGCUACUUAUGAAGACAAUAACACCAUAUGUUAUUUUUCAUGCAUAGGAAUGAAAGGGAAAAUUAAAAUUGAGGAUAGGAAUUAGCGGAAAAAAAUAGAGGAAAAAUUAUUAUUAUUAUUUAUUUUCAGUUUUUAAUCAUUUUUAAAUUGAAAUGACUUAACUAUCCUUACAUGUUAUGCACAUGGUCUCAUUUAACGGAAAUAUGGAUGGAAUAUAUGAAAAACUAACGGUAGGGGGUAAAUUGGCUAAAAAAUUAGUUUGAGUCCUUAAUUUUCCAAUAGAAAAGUUCAGGGGGAAAAUCGAAAGUGAGAUGAAAGUUCAGGGGGUAAACCGACAGUUUACCCAAUUUCAAAUAAUAACAUCGCAAAACGGUGUUACAUAAUUCUCUGAAGUACUAUAAAUUUUCAAAUAAUAACGCCGCGGAAAUUGGUGUCACCAGAAACGAGUUAAUACCUACGUUGAAGAAACCCAGCUGUAACCCAAUCAGCUGAGCCCUGCUCACUCACACCUCUCUUCACUCACAUGUGAACCUUGGCCCCCCCUCUGUCUCCAUCUAACCCCAAAAACAACUCAAAUCUACCUCUAGAUUUCUCUCACUAAAUACCCCUCCAAAAAACCUAUGAUUUUCUCUCUCUAGGUUUUCCAUGGCUUCUCCAACUCCUUUCACUCUCCUCCUCUGCUGCUUCCUCAUUUUUCUCCAUCUGGGUCCUCUCAUCCAAGCUCAAAUCGACGAAACCAGCUUGAAGCUAGUGACGGAGGGUCUGGACUGGCCGGCCGCCACAAUGUCGCUGCUGGACGACGAGCUCGAGGAGGCGGAUGACGAGGACGGCGAGGACUUGGAACUGGACGUGGAAAACGCGUACGCGCGCAGAUCUCUGUUCUGGAGG